RNAcentral lists this ribosomal RNA (465 nucleotides) under uncultured bacterium. Its description in RNAcentral is "partial 16S ribosomal RNA". It matches the Rfam family "Bacterial small subunit ribosomal RNA", at positions 28 to 507 of the family's 1533-position model. The record is from RNAcentral.
GACGAACGCUGGCGGCGUGCUUAACACAUGCAAGUCGAACGGAAAGGCCCUGCUUGCCGGGUACUCGAGUGGCGAACGGGUGAGUAACACGUGGGUGAUCUGCCCUGCACUUCGGGAUAAGCCUGGGAAACUGGGUCUAAUACCGGAUAGGAGCCAUUUUUAGUGUGAUGGUUGGAAAGUUUUUUCGGUGUAGGAUGAGCUCGCGGCCUAUCAGCUUGUUGGUGGGGUAAUGGCCUACCAAGGCGGCGACGGGUAGCCGGCCUGAGAGGGUGGACGGCCACAUUGGGACUGAGAUACGGCCCAGACUCCUACGGGAGGCAGCAGUGGGGAAUAUUGCACAAUGGACGCAAGCCUGAUGCAGCGACGCCGCGUGGGGGAUGACGGCCUUCGGGUUGUAAACUCCUUUCGCUAGGGACGAAGCUUUUUGUGACGGUACCUAGAUAAGAAGCACCGGCUAACUACGUG